This 642-nucleotide ribosomal RNA is filed under the name uncultured Akkermansia sp. RNAcentral's name for it is "bacterial SSU rRNA". It matches the Rfam family "Bacterial small subunit ribosomal RNA", at positions 20 to 684 of the family's 1533-position model. The record is from RNAcentral. Lineage: Bacteria; Pseudomonadati; Verrucomicrobiota; Verrucomicrobiia; Verrucomicrobiales; Akkermansiaceae.
GAAUUCACUAGUGAUUUGGCGGCGUGGUUAAGACAUGCAAGUCGAACGAGAGAAUUGCUAGCUUGCUAAUAAUUCUCUAGUGGCGCACGGGUGAGUAACACGUGAGUAACCUGCCCCCGAGAGCGGGAUAGCCCUGGGAAACUGGGAUUAAUACCGCAUAGUAUCGAAAGAUUAAAGCAGCAAUGCGCUUGGGGAUGGGCUCGCGGCCUAUUAGUUAGUUGGUGAGGUAACGGCUCACCAAGGCGAUGACGGGUAGCCGGUCUGAGAGGAUGUCCGGCCACACUGGAACUGAGACACGGUCCAGACACCUACGGGUGGCAGCAGUCGAGAAUCAUUCACAAUGGGGGAAACCCUGAUGGUGCGACGCCGCGUGGGGGAAUGAAGGUCUUCGGAUUGUAAACCCCUGUCAUGUGGGAGCAAAUUAAAAAGAUAGUACCACAAGAGGAAGAGACGGCUAACUCUGUGCCAGCAGCCGCGGUAAUACAGAGGUCUCAAGCGUUGUUCGGAAUCACUGGGCGUAAAGCGUGCGUAGGCUGUUUCGUAAGUCGUGUGUGAAAGGCGCGGGCUCAACCCGCGGACGGCACAUGAUACUGCGAGAUUAGAGUAAUGGAGGGGGAACCGGAAUUCACGGUGUAGCAAAUC